Molecule: ribosomal RNA, 253 nt
Filed under: uncultured bacterium
Lineage: Bacteria
Description: partial 16S ribosomal RNA
Rfam family: Bacterial small subunit ribosomal RNA
Source: RNAcentral
UACGUAGGGGGCGAGCGUUGUCCGGAAUUAUUGGGCGUAAAGAGCGUGUAGGCGGUUCGGUAAGUCUGCCGUGAAAACCUGGGGCUCAACCCUGGGCGUGCGGUGGAUACUGCCGGGCUAGAGGGUGGUAGAGGCGAGUGGAAUUCCCGGUGUAGCGGUGAAAUGCGCAGAUAUCGGGAGGAACACCAGUAGCGAAGGCGGCUCGCUGGGCCAUUCCUGACGCUGAGACGCGAAAGCUAGGGGAGCGAACCGG